GACGAACGCUGGCGGCGUGCUUAACACAUGCAGGUCGAACGGAAAGGCCCUGCUUGCAGGGUACUCGAGUGGCGAACGGGUGAGUAACACGUGGGUGAUCUGCCCUGCACUUCGGGAUAAGCUUGGGAAACUGGGUCUAAUACCGGAUAGGAGCCAUCUUUAGUGUGGUGGUUGGAAAGUUUUUUCGGUGUAGGAUGAGCUCGCGGCCUAUCAGCUUGUUGGUGGGGUAAUGGCCUACCAAGGCGGCGACGGGUAGCCGGCCUGAGAGGGUGUACGGCCACAUUGGGACUGAGAUACGGGCCAGACUCCUACGGGAGGCAGAAGUGGGGAAUAUUGCACAAUGGGCGCAAGCCUGAGGCAGCGACGCCGCGUGGGGGAUGAAGGCCUUCGGGUUGUAAACUCCUUUCGCUAGGGACGAAGCUUUUUUGUGACGGUACCUAGAUAAGAAGCACCGGCUAACUACGUG
Molecule: ribosomal RNA, 466 nt
Filed under: uncultured bacterium
Lineage: Bacteria
Description: partial 16S ribosomal RNA
Rfam family: Bacterial small subunit ribosomal RNA
Source: RNAcentral